UGGUCCGUUGGUCAAGGGGUUAAGACACCGCCUUUUCACGGCGGUAACACGGGUUCGAAUCCCGUACGGACUA
Molecule: transfer RNA, 73 nt
Filed under: Streptococcus thermophilus
Lineage: Bacteria; Bacillati; Bacillota; Bacilli; Lactobacillales; Streptococcaceae
Also listed under: 2 other names
Description: tRNA-Glu
Rfam family: tRNA
About the family: Transfer RNA (tRNA) molecules are approximately 80 nucleotides in length. Their secondary structure includes four short double-helical elements and three loops (D, anti-codon, and T loops).
Source: RNAcentral